Molecule: ribosomal RNA, 491 nt
Filed under: uncultured bacterium
Lineage: Bacteria
Description: bacterial SSU rRNA
Rfam family: Bacterial small subunit ribosomal RNA
Source: RNAcentral
AUUGAACGCUGGCGGCGCGCUUAACACAUGCAAGUCGUGCGGUACCGAUGGCAAGUCUUCUUGACGAGCCUUCGGUAUAGCGGCGGACGGGUGAGUAACACGUGAGUAGCUGUCCUAGGGAGGGGGAUAACGCCUGGAAACGGGUGCUAAAAACCCCAUAAGCCUCGAAAGAGGUAAAAGUGCAUCACUGCAGUCCUAGGGUGUGCUCGCGGCCUAUCAGCUAGUUGGUGAGGUAAGGGCUCACCAAGGCCAAGACGGGUAGCCGGCCUGAGAGGGUGUACGGCCACACUGGAAUUGAGAUACGGCCCAGACUCCUACGGGAGGCAGCAGUUGGGAAUCUUAGGCAAUGGACGAAAGUCUGACCUAGCGACGCCGCGUGAGGGAAGAAGGCCUCGGGUUGUAAACCUCUGUCAUGGGGAGAAGUAAGUAGACGGUACCCGAACGAGGAAGCCCUGCUAACUACGUGCAGCAGCGCGGUAAAGAGUAGUAGA